This 1101-nucleotide long non-coding RNA is filed under the name Pan troglodytes (chimpanzee). RNAcentral describes it as "lncRNA (ENSPTRG00000053549.1)". Lineage: Eukaryota; Metazoa; Chordata; Mammalia; Primates; Hominidae. The record is from RNAcentral.
ACUGUGUGUGUCCAGUUGUGAUUGGAAUACAUUGUAGAAACUCAAGUAAAUAUCUUCUAAUGACUCAAUGAAUUGAUUUAUUUGGGAUGCUUUAUAAAAAGUAUAACUUUUUCCUAAUGCAGAAUGUCCUAGUAGAAAUAAAAAAAUACAGGAUAUCAAUAAUUCAUAGCAUUCCCAAGGAAGGAUACAAGUAAUCGUAUUAAGUAAAAUGAUAAAAUAAUACAAGUCUUAAUGUUGAUGCCCAACAUCAAGCCAUUUUUAAGAAUCACAAGCAGUGCAGCAGUAUUAUUGCUGAUGCUUUAAAGCUGAGCCAUUUUUUCUUAGAUAUUUAUAGGAUGGCUUUGUAGGUAAAAUACAGGAGUAAAUACCUGUGCUAGGUUGUUUUAUUGUGCAGUUAUUCAUUCUUCCUUUCCUGUAAGAAAAUUAUACAUUGUUGCUCAUUGACAUCAGGCUUAAGGGGCCCCUUAUGGACAGAAUAUAUAUUCUCUGCUCUAUUGAUGUUUGACCUGACCACGUGAUGUGCUUUAGUCAAUGGAAUAAAUGUAGGCAUGAUGUAUACUGUUUUUGAGAAGAAACUUUAAAAGGUACUAAUGAAAUUUCUUUGCCUGUUUGUUUCUGCUUUCUGUAUGGGUCCUGGAAUAAAAAUAUAUGGAUGAGGAUUGCAGCUGACUUCAGCCUACGUGCAGUUUGAAUAUUAAGCAGAAACAUGAGUCAGUCUGACAAUAACCAUAGACGAAUGAGAUUCCAUACCACUUCAGGAGGCACACGUUAUCUUCUGUGGCCUGACUCCUACCAUAUCAGUGUACUCUCAACCAGAAAACUGUUACAGAAGAUGUCCGAGCAUAUGGAAAAGAAACUUGAACAUGGAACAAGGAGACACGGGUUCAGCCUCUGGGCAAGUAAGUCUUAAUCUUGUUAUUUUAAUACCAUAUAUUGAAUGCUUUCUGUGCUGAGAGUGUUGUAUACAUUCAUUUAAUCCUCACACUAACUGUAUGAUGCAGGCCAUCUUAUCUUUAACUACCUUCCUGUCUAUCUACCUAUAUAGUUAAUAAUCCUAGUUGACAAAACUGAGACUCAAGAAGUUUACGAAAUGUAAAUUCC